CUACGGGUGGCAGCAGUGAGGAAUAUUGCACAAUGGGGGGAACCCUGAUGCAGCAACGCCGCGUGGAGGAUGACGCAUUUCGGUGUGUAAACUCCUUUUAUAUGUCAAGAAAAUGACGGUAGCAUAUGAAUAAGCACCGGCUAACUCCGUGCCAGCAGCCGCGGUAAUACGGAGGGUGCAAGCGUUACUCGGAGUCACUGGGCGUAAAGGACGCGUAGGCGGGUUGGAAAGUCAGGUGUGAAAGCCUACAGCUUAACUGUAGAACUGCACUUGAAACUUCUAAUCUAGAGUAUGGGAGGGGGAGAUGGAAUUAGUGGUGUAGGGGUAAAAUCCGUAGAUAUCACUAGGAAUACCUAAAGCGAAGGCGAUCUCCUGGAACAUUACUGACGCUAAGGCGUGAAAGCGUGGGGAGCAAACAGGAUUAGAUACCCCUGUAGUC
Molecule: ribosomal RNA, 439 nt
Filed under: uncultured bacterium
Lineage: Bacteria
Description: partial 16S ribosomal RNA
Rfam family: Bacterial small subunit ribosomal RNA
Source: RNAcentral